UACGUGGGGCGCAAGCGUUGUCCGGAAUUAUUGGGCGUAAAGAGCUCGUAGGCGGCUUGUCACGUCGGGUGUGAAAGACCGGGGCUUAACCCCGGUUCUGCAUUCGAUACGGGCUAGCUAGAGUGUGGUAGGGGAGAUCGGAAUUCCUGGUGUAGCGGUGAAAUGCGCAGAUAUCAGGAGGAACACCGGUGGCGAAGGCGGAUCUCUGGGCCAUUACUGACGCUGAGGAGCGAAAGCGUGGGGAGCGAACAGG
RNAcentral lists this ribosomal RNA (253 nucleotides) under uncultured bacterium. RNAcentral's name for it is "partial 16S ribosomal RNA". It matches the Rfam family "Bacterial small subunit ribosomal RNA", at positions 524 to 776 of the family's 1533-position model. The record is from RNAcentral.